UGUGGUGACGGGUCAAGACUGUUUCCUGUGAUUCAAUGCGUCUUGACCCCUCGCUGCAUG
RNAcentral lists this microRNA precursor (60 nucleotides) under Callorhinchus milii (elephant shark). RNAcentral's name for it is "Cmi-Novel-16_pre stem-loop". The record is from RNAcentral. Lineage: Eukaryota; Metazoa; Chordata; Chondrichthyes; Chimaeriformes; Callorhinchidae.